UGAUAAUAUUAUUUUGUCUUAUUUUGGUGGAUGUUAUGAGCACAAAACAGAUGUAAGUUUUGUAAUUAGAGUAGGUUGAAAUUUAAACAAGUAAUACGGAAAAUGACAAAAGAUCAAUGCUAUAUUACAAAUAGUCUGAAAUCUAUUGACAUAUACACAUGAAAAAAAGUAUUGCAACACCAAAUUGAAAUUCAAAUUAAGAAAAUACUUUUAAUUUUUUUGUGACAUAAUGUGUUGAAAUAGAACUAGUUAAACAUUAUUUAAAUAUCACCUGAGUUUAAUCAAUAAAAAUCGACUCGAUAAGUUCUUAUCUGCACUUGCAGCCACUGUAGUCGUUAACAAUAAGACAGAUGAUUUUAUCCUCAUUGUUUUCAACACUUCAAAUAACCAAGUUUAUAAAGUUAUGUGAUUGACACCUUGUAAUUGGUCACCAACAACUCAUAACUGCAACAAGAUGGCAGAUAAUCAGCAUAAAAGAACAGGUAUGUCGCUGUGACAAUUGUACAUAGUGUUGGCCAUUACCAUUCCACUAUUAGUCGUUUUAAGAAAAAUUUAGGCAACAAACGAUGUUAAAGACCUUCCGAAAUCGAGAAGACCCCCUAUUACAUCUGCUAGGGAAAAUCAAGCACAAUGCAGGUUGGUCAGAAGGAAAGUGAUGACCAUACAGGAGCCUUUUAGCAAGAACUGUUCGAGAUCGGCUCUUCGCUACUGGUAAUCUUGCGAUUAGACCAUUUUGGGGACCUUUAGACGCACAGUUAUCCAAUACAGUGCAGAGCUCACCAAAGUUGGAAAUUAGCAUCGUGGAGGGAGAUUCAUUGUUCUAAUGUAAUUCGUUGUAUCUUCCUUGGCCCGAUCGUAGCCUGAAUUUAAACCACAUCGAGCAUACAUGGGACACUAUUUGGUGUAAAGUGCAAGAAAGGACAACUCAGUUCCAACACGUCAUGAAAUAAAAAUACCCUUCGCCAGGAAUGGUUGCUGCUACCUUAGCAACAAAUUAGUCGACUUAUGGCUGGAAUCAGAAGACGUUAAGAUGCGGUUAUCCGUUUGAAGGGAGGCUGCACACAAAGUACUAAUUUGUUGGUGGUUAACGUUCAACCAUGACGUGAACAAUCAUUUAAAUAUCAAUUGUGAAAUGUCUGACAUGAUAACGUUUGAAUACAGUAAAAUUGGUAAAAUGCAUUUUUUUCUACAAAAAAACACUUCAGUUUGUUAUAAAAAUUUUGGUUACUCUGAUAAAACAUUUUAUUUUCAUACAUGUUUUGUUCUUUUUAAUGCCAAUGUUAUCAUUUACUACUUCCGGAGCACCUGAGAUCACUCCUAGUUUUUUGGUGGGGUUCGUGUUGUUUAUUCUUUAGUUUUCUAUGUUGUGUCGUGUGUGCUUUGUUUGUUUGUCUUUUUCAUUUUUAGCCAUGGCGUUGUCAGUUUGUUUUAGAUUUAUGAGUUUGACUGUCUCUUUGGUAUCUUUCGUCCCUCUUUUACUACGUUUUAAUAUUAUUUUACAAAUAUUUUACCAUAUUCCAUCCCAAAUAAGAGGUUGAUUUUUUGAAAGUUUUGAAAAAUAAAGGCGCUGCAAUACUUUUUUCCAUGUGUAUUUAUAAAGAUAUAUAUUUCAUUCAGUGCACACAGACAAUUUUCUCAUUUUGUGUAAUCUCCUUUUCAAACAUCAUGAAAUUAAAAUGACUGCGUUCGCAAAUUGUAAUGACGUUGUCAAAAUCGUCACCGUUGUCGGAAAACAUUUGAUUUCUAGGCGAUAAUUUGAGUUUAAUGAAUGGAUAUCUAUGAAAUUGUAUCACAAGAUUCCAUAUCAUACAAAAAGAUGGUUGGGAUGGAUGUUGGAAGUUAUUGCUCUAGCUGUUUAUGAAGAAGGGACAAUAAGGGGCGAAAUCAAGAAUUUUUCUUGCUUCAGUACAAUAACUUGUGUAUGAAAUUUUCCCAUAACAGUUACCAUUUAGUUAUAUGGUGCAAAAUAAAGACAACAGUUGUAUACCUCUGUUUAAAAGUCCUAAAUCGAUUGAGAGAAAGCAAGUCUGGUUUACAAAAUAACACCGAGGGACACACAUCAACUAUUAGAGGAAAACAAAUAAACAACAGAAACACUGAAGUGCAACAAAAAUUCUAAUAUGUCGACCUGUUAUCGUCAACCAGUAUAAUCACCAUUUAUCUCUAUUCAACAGCAAAAUGAACAAAUCAAUCAAUUAUGUUUCAUGGUAAAAUUUCAUAGAACGAAAAUUCCGCGAAAUUAUUUAAUUGUCUUGGCAUGGUAACGAAACAAGGUGACGUCACAAUUAUGUUUCCGUAAACAAAAAAAAAUAAAUGUAAAUUCCGGGCGUUUUUAAGCUUUUUGUACGCCUCAGAAUGAAUGAAAUUACAUUAAUUUUGGAAGAAAAUAUAUCAGUGAAAAAUGUGAUUAUAGAAAAAUAAUUAUUGAAUUAUAUAACAUUACUAAUAUUAUCCAAAUUGGAUGAAACGGAACAGCCAAAACAGUAUCGUAUGUAUAGGGCUUCCACGGUUAAAAUUACCGAAUUUGUCCUAUUAGAAUCGAAAUAAUUUAUUGCAGUAGUAGAUUUGUUUUCAUUUAACCAUAGGUAGGACAUUUAUAUUCGUAUUUUACACAGAGCGCAGGGUAAAAUAGUCGAACACAAAUGCCCACCAUGGUUAAAUGAAAACAAAUCUACAGCUGCCAGGAAUCAUUUCUUAAACAAACGACAUGCAGAAUUCAUAGAAACGAACCAUGCUUUUUUUACCACUUGUAUUUUGACGAAUAAUAUUUGAAUUGCAACAAUUUAUGUUUGUUUUAGACAUGUACAGAUAAGAUUUUAUUUAAAACCAGAAUGUAUAUUGGUUGGUUCCUAGCAUUUUUGUUGCUGCAGGUAAUCAUUGAGGUAAGCGUACAGUAAUAUAACAAGUAUAAUUAAAGGUAAUUAGCACUUUGUUUUAGUAAUCAUAAUUAUCGAAUUACUGAUCUUAAUUUUAAAAUAUUCUGCUUCCCUUUGUUGCUAGAUAUUUUUUCUGCAGGAAUAUAGAAACAAGCACUAGAAACUGGACUUUAUCAGAGCUCUUAGACGUUAGAAGAACAUUAUUUAACGAACAGUGAAGUUAUUUUUUCUUGGUUUUUGGUUUGACGGGAUUGAGGCAGUGUACACUUUUAGAAAGGCGAUGCAUUCGUAAAAAAAUAUAAAAUUAAUUAUUCUAUAAUAAAAUUCUAGUAUUCAAAAUAUACUUAUAUCAUUUAACAUAUGCACAUGAUUUUAAGGUUUAUACACAGUUUUAAUUUAGGUACAAACAGACAUGGUUAGAAAAAUAAAAAAAAAAACAGUAAUUACACUUUUUCAUGGUUAAAAGAAGUACCUAAAUUAACAAAACUCAAUCUUUAUUUGAUAUUCUUGUACGUGACUAUAAAAUGUACAAAUCUAUUUUCUUUUAAAUUAUCUGUGAUAAUAUAAACGUCACAUAAAAUUCACCACUUUUUGUGACCCUCAGUUUAUAUUUAAAUUUAUGUUAGAUGUUCGUUUUAUUCAGCGGUUAACAUUAGUGAUAAAUUCUUUAAAUUAGCAGUAUUUUCGUUUUUAUCUGUGUUAGGUGUUUAUAGAUAUAGGAAGAUGUGGUAUGAGUGCCAAUGAGACAACUCUCCAUCAAAGUAACAAUUUAUAAAAGUAAACCAUUAUUGGCCAAGGUACGGCCUUCAACACGGAGCCUUAGAACACACCGAACAGCGUGUAUGUGUACUGUAUGCUUAUGUGUAUUCUAAGGUAUUAAAAAGGUGUUUUAAAACUUGUCAUAUACGCUCGAGGUUUUGCUAGAACAAAGACCAGGUUCGAUUCAACAUUUUAUUUUAGGAAAAUGUCUUGUACCUAAUCAGAAAUAUGGCAGUUGUAUUACACAGUACAUUUUUUGUAUGUUUGUGUUUGUUUUUGUUGUAGUUCAGUGCUUCUGUUGUUUUCCCUUACAGUUGAUAUGUUUUUCUCGGGAAUCGUUUGUUACCUGGAUUUAUUUCUUCUCAAACGAAUCAUGAAGUCGGAACAGAGUUAUACUACUGUUGACUUUAUUAAAUAAGGCAGAAGAAAUUACUACCUUCAAAAAGUAUUUUUUUUUUGUUUGUAUUCAUCAUGCAUAAAGCUACCAAUUUGAUGUUUGUGAUAGAUUUUAGGUUUGAUAUUUGCGAACAAAGAAUAUUCAUUCAUAUCUUCACUGAAAAAAGUGGACACCAAGACGGAAAAUGAAACAACUG
Molecule: long non-coding RNA, 4228 nt
Filed under: Mytilus galloprovincialis (Mediterranean mussel)
Lineage: Eukaryota; Metazoa; Mollusca; Bivalvia; Mytilida; Mytilidae
Source: RNAcentral